CAGAGUUGGCAAAACUCCCACAAACCAUCGCGAAUCUUACCCGUGCGGUUGCCUCGGCGCUGGCGGUCCGGAAGGCCCUCGGGCCCCCCGGAUCCUCGGGUCUCCGCUCGCGGGAGGCUGCCCGCCGGAGUGCCGAACCAAACUCUUGAUAUUUUAUGUCUCUCUGAGUAAACUUUUAAUAAGUCA
RNAcentral lists this unclassified non-coding RNA (186 nucleotides) under soil metagenome. RNAcentral describes it as "partial internal transcribed spacer 1". The record is from RNAcentral.